Molecule: ribosomal RNA, 253 nt
Filed under: uncultured bacterium
Lineage: Bacteria
Description: partial 16S ribosomal RNA
Rfam family: Bacterial small subunit ribosomal RNA
Source: RNAcentral
UACGUAGGCAGCGAGCGUUGUUCGGAGUUACUGGGCGUAAAGAGUGCGUAGGCGGUUUUCUAAGUUUGGUGUGAAAUCUCCCGGCUUAACUGGGAGGGUGCGCCGAAAACUGGAAGGCUUGAGUAUGGGAGAGGUAAGCGGAAUUCCUGGUGUAGCGGUGAAAUGCUUAGAUAUCGUCAAGAACACCGAUAGUGUAGACAGCUUACUAGGCUUCAACUGACGCUGAGGCACGAAAGUGUGGGGAUCAAACAGG